RNAcentral lists this ribosomal RNA (499 nucleotides) under uncultured Glomeromycotina. RNAcentral's name for it is "partial small subunit ribosomal RNA". It matches the Rfam family "Eukaryotic small subunit ribosomal RNA", at positions 591 to 1092 of the family's 1831-position model. The record is from RNAcentral. Lineage: Eukaryota; Fungi; Glomeromycota.
CCAAUAGCGUAUGUUAAAGUUGUUGCAGUUAAAAAGCUCGUAGUUGAAUUUUGGGUCUGGGCGGGUGGUCCACCUUUCGGUGAGCACUGUUCCGACGUCGGGCCUAUCCUUCUGGUGAGACGGCAUGCCCUUCGCUGGGUGUGUCGGGGAACCAGGACCAUUACCUUGAAAAAAUUAGAGUGUUCAAAGCAGGCAUUUGCUCGAAUACAUUAGCAUGGAAUAAUGAAAUAGGACGCGUGGUACUAUUUUGUUGGUUUCUAGGACCGCCGUAAUGAUUAAUAGGGAUAGUUGGGGGCAUUAGUAUUCAAUUGUCAGAGGUGAAAUUCUUGGAUUUAUUGAAGACUAACUUCUGCGAAAGCAUUUGCCAAGGAUGUUUUCAUUAAUCAAGAACGAAAGUUAGGGGAUCGAAGACGAUCAGAUACCGUCGUAGUCUUAACCAUAAACUAUGCCGACUAGGAAUCGGGCGAUGUUAUUUUAACGACACGCCCGGCGCCUUAUG